UACGGAGGGUGCGAGCGUUAAUCGGAAUUACUGGGCGUAAAGCGCGCGUAGGCGGCUCGUUAAGUCGAUUGUGAAAUCCCCGGGCUCAACCUGGGAAUUGCAGUCGAUACUGGCGGGCUGGAGUGUGGGAGAGGGUAGUGGAAUUCCCGGUGUAGCGGUGAAAUGCGUAGAUAUCGGGAGGAACAUCAGUGGCGAAGGCGACUGCCUGGCCCAACACUGACGCUGAGGUGCGAAAGCGUGGGUAGCAAACAGG
RNAcentral lists this ribosomal RNA (253 nucleotides) under uncultured bacterium. RNAcentral's name for it is "partial 16S ribosomal RNA". It matches the Rfam family "Bacterial small subunit ribosomal RNA", at positions 524 to 776 of the family's 1533-position model. The record is from RNAcentral.